CAGUGAACUUGAAAAAGUCACACAUAUGCAAGCAGGAUUGGGCCCCAGGACUGCUCAUCUAGAUGAGAGCAUCACCCAUGAGGAGCUAUGUGAUGCCCUCAAAGCUUUUAUAUCCACGCACACUGUCUGGUGGAUGGCUACUUUAUAAAUCUACAGGUGGAUGGGGUAGCCGUAAGCUCGCCCUUGUGUCACCCGAUGCUGGGUAUACAGGCAGAU
Boleophthalmus pectinirostris (great blue-spotted mudskipper) is the source of this 216-nucleotide long non-coding RNA. RefSeq lists it as uncharacterized. The record is from RefSeq and is a predicted model, not a curated record. The transcript is spliced from 3 exons. Lineage: Eukaryota; Metazoa; Chordata; Actinopteri; Gobiiformes; Gobiidae.